UACGUAGGGUGCGAGCGUUAUUCGGAUUUAUUGGGCGUAAAGCGCAUGUAGGCGGUUUGGUAAGUCUGGUGUGAAAGCCCUCGACUUAAUCGAGGAAGUGCACUGGAUACUGUCGAACUAGAGUGCAGGAGGGGUGAGCGGAAUUCCUGGUGUAGAGGUGAAAUUCGUAGAUAUCAGGAGGAACAACAGCGGCGAAGGCGGCUCACUGGACUGUUACUGACGCUCAGAUGCGAUAGUGUGGGGAG
This 245-nucleotide ribosomal RNA is filed under the name uncultured bacterium. RNAcentral's name for it is "partial 16S ribosomal RNA". It matches the Rfam family "Bacterial small subunit ribosomal RNA", at positions 524 to 768 of the family's 1533-position model. The record is from RNAcentral.